UCUAAACUACACCACUAAACAAGUUUUCAACUACAAUUCCAACAACAAAUGCUAACAUAACACAUCCAACACUAGUGCAUCUAAUUUGACUAAAAUUCAAUCUAAUUUUCUUCAAAUGAAUUUUUAAGCCAACUAAUCUUUCCUCUAACUUCCUAACUUUGUUAUCAUCUGCAAAAGAAUGACCUUCUUUAUGAUUCUGAUUCAGCUUCAAACCUCCGAAUAAAAGAGUCUUCAUUUGCAACAUCCUCAUUGAAUGAUGCAACAUAAUCAUCAAGCCAACAAAAGUAUUUGCAAUGAAGUGUUGGAGUCUAUAAAAUAAUAUUUUUUAUUAUAAAUCUAAUAGAAAAUAAAGUGAACAUAAUUUUAAUUCUUGAUAAACCUACCUUGAAAUAUGAGCAUCAAUGAAAAACAAAGUGAACAAAAUUUUAAUUGUUAAUAAACCUACCUUAAAGUAUGAGCAUCGAAAGAAUAGUCUAUUUGGGUUUAUAUCGGUUUCGAACAUGAACAAAAUUGCAUAAAUUUUACAAUUACAUUCUGGGACAACCCUCUUUUUCUUCCACCUUGAUUCCACACUCCCAGUAACUUUCAAACUCCAACCUGAUUCGUUUUCAACUCUCCCACUUCACCGAUUUGAUGUCGACCCACGUUCUUUACUAUCAACCAUGCCGUCCUAGGGUUUAUAGUCGAACACAUUGAUGCAUUUUCAAAGUAUAUAGUGAAGGAGCGCAGCAUUUGAACCUCUCAUCCCACUUAAAAUAAUAGCG
RNAcentral lists this long non-coding RNA (764 nucleotides) under Arachis ipaensis. Its description in RNAcentral is "long non-coding RNA (AIPA_LNC000796)". Lineage: Eukaryota; Viridiplantae; Streptophyta; Magnoliopsida; Fabales; Fabaceae. The record is from RNAcentral.